AAAUUGGAAACCCCAGUUGGAGAAUCUUCAACCUCCUCCAUGUUUCAAAUGCUCGUUGCCUUUGGGAUGGGAGCAAAGUAAUGCCAUGGCAACUGCUGGGUGCAUAAGGGCCUGGGGGCCAUAAAGGGUCUGAGUGGUUGUGUCCAGGUUAUAGUCAUCCAUAGUGAGGAUUCCCCCUCCCCAUACCCGAGACCCAGAAAAAGGACUGGACAGAAGAAACACCAUUGAUAACCAAUAGAAAUAUGCCUGAGCGAUAGCUGGCAGCUGCCACUGGAACUUUCUUUGUAUUGGGCUUGGGAGAAUGGCAUAUGCUGGAGGAGGGGGAGAGGAAGGGCUUACAGAGAAAAACAUAGAAACUGAGAGGGUUUGAGUAGUUCGGGGGAACAGCUACAUGGAAUACUCUGAAAGCCUGGUCCCCCUAACAAGGAAAG
Molecule: long non-coding RNA, 431 nt
Filed under: Homo sapiens (human)
Lineage: Eukaryota; Metazoa; Chordata; Mammalia; Primates; Hominidae
Description: long non-coding RNA NONHSAT197065
Source: RNAcentral